AUGUGUCAAGCCUAUGUUCUCCUCCUAUGCUUCAUUCUUCAAGGUGUUGCAGUUGCUGCUGAUAGAGGCGAGAUAUAUAUGGGCUACGUUGAAAUUUGUCAUAGUAAGUAUCCGCUCCUAAUAGCAAUCUUUAUAUCAUGUUUGGUCUUCUCAUCCUUCUGUUUUUCCAUUUACUACUACAGGCUCAACAAAGCCUCACCUUCCAUGCAGUACAAUUUAUUACUUCUCCCUAUAGUUGGGCCAAUGCCAAAAGACAAACACAGGAAGGCUAGAGCCAAAAUACUCAAACUUCAAGCACCCAACAACAUAUGGUCACCACCCAGCGCUGGAUCCGCUCCCCAAGACUAA
Molecule: ribosomal RNA, 348 nt
Filed under: Triticum aestivum (bread wheat)
Lineage: Eukaryota; Viridiplantae; Streptophyta; Magnoliopsida; Poales; Poaceae
Description: partial small subunit ribosomal RNA
Source: RNAcentral